Molecule: ribosomal RNA, 497 nt
Filed under: uncultured bacterium
Lineage: Bacteria
Description: partial 16S ribosomal RNA
Rfam family: Bacterial small subunit ribosomal RNA
Source: RNAcentral
GAUGAACGCUGGCGGCGUGCCUAAUACAUGCAAGUCGAGCGAACAGAUAAGGAGCUUGCUCCUUUGACGUUAGCGGCGGACGGGUGAGUAACACGUGGGUAACCUACCUAUAAGACUGGGAUAACUUCGGGAAACCGGAGCUAAUACCGGAUAACAUUUGGAACCGCAUGGUUCUAAAGUGAAAGAUGGUUUUGCUAUCACUUAUAGAUGGACCCGCGCCGUAUUAGCUAGUUGGUAAGGUAACGGCUUACCAAGGCGACGAUACGUAGCCGACCUGAGAGGGUGAUCGGCCACACUGGAACUGGGACACGGUCCAGACUCCUACGGGAGGCAGCAGUAGGGAAUCUUCCGCAAUGGGCGAAAGCCUGACGGAGCAACGCCGCGUGAGUGAUGAAGGGUUUCGGCUCGUAAAACUCUGUUAUUAGGGAAGAACAAAUGUGUAAGUAACUGUGCACGUCCUGACGGUACCUAAUCAGAAAGCCACGGCUAACUACGUG